Molecule: long non-coding RNA, 8899 nt
Organism: Nomascus leucogenys (northern white-cheeked gibbon)
Lineage: Eukaryota; Metazoa; Chordata; Mammalia; Primates; Hylobatidae
Exons: 5
Source: RefSeq, a predicted model, not a curated record
GCAUCUUCCCGUGUCUGAGGAGGUAGCACCUGGCACAGGUAUGAGGAUCUGGGUCUUCCAGUGUCUGAGGAGGUAGCACCUGGCACAGGUAUGAGGAUCUGGGUCUUCCCGUGUCUGAAGAGAUAGCACCUGGCACAGGUAUGAGGAUCUGGGUCUUCCCGUGUCUGAGGAGGUAGCACCUGGCACAGGUAUGAGGAUCUGGGUCUUCCCAUGUCUGAGGAGGUAGCACCUGGCACAGGUAUGAGGAUCUGGGUCUUCCAGUGUUUGAGGAGGUAGCACCUGGCACAGGUAUGAGUAUCUGGGUCUUCCCAUGUCUGAGGAGGUAGCACCUGGCACAGGUAUGAGGAUCUGGGUCUUCCAGUGUCUGAGGAGGUAGCAGCUGGCACAGGUAUGAGGAUCUGGGUCUUCCCGUGUCUGAAGAGGUAGCACCUGGCACAGGUAUGAGGAUCUGGGUCUUCCAGUGUCUGAGGAGGUAGCACCUGGCACAGGUAUGAAGAUCUGGGUCUUCCCGUGUCUGAAGAGGUAAGACCUGGCACAGGUAUGAGGAUCUGGGUCUUCCCGUGUCUGAGGAGGUAGCACCUGGCACAGGUAUGAGGAUCUGGGUCUUCCCGUGUCUGAGGAGGUAGCACCUGGCACAGGUAUGAGGAUCUGGGUCUUCCAGUGUUUGAGGAGGUAGCACCUGGCACAGGUAUGAGUAUCUGGGUCUUCUCAUGUCUGAGGAGGUAGCACCUGGCACAGGUAUGAGAAUCUGGGUCUUCCAGUGUUUGAGGAGGCAGCACCUGGCACAGGUAUGAGGAUCUGGGUCUUCCUGUGUCGGAAGAGGUAGCAUCUGGCACAGGUAUGAGGAUCUGGGUCUUCCAGUGUCUGAGGAGGUAGCAUUUGGCACAGGUAUGAGAAUCUGGAUCUUCUAGUGUCUGAGGAGGUGGGAUCUGGUAUUAAGUAUGAGAAUCUGGUUCUGUCAGUGACCGAGGAGGUAGGAUCUGGCGUAAGCAUGAGGAUCUGGGUCUGUCAAUGUCUGAGGAGGUAGGAUCUGGUACAGGUAUGAGGAUCUGGGUCUGCCACGUCUGGAGGUAAGAUCUGGCAUGAGUAUGAGGAUUUGGUUCUGUUCAUGUCUGAGGAGGUAGGAUCUUGUGCAGGUAUAAGGAUCUGGGUCUUUCAAUGUCUGAGAAGGUAGGAUCUGGUACAGGUGUGAGGGUCUGGGUCUGUUCAUGUCUGAGGAGGUAGGUUCUGGCACUGGUAAGAGGAUCUGGGUCUGUCAGUUUCUGAGGAGGUAGGAUCUGGCCCUGGUAAGAAGAUCUGGGUCUGUCAAUUUCGGAGGAGGUGGGAACUGGCACAGUUAUGAGGAUCUGGGUCUGUCAAUAUCUGAGGACGUAGGAUCUGGUACAGGUAUAAGGAUCUGGGUCUGUCAGGGUAUGAGGAGGUAAGAUCUGGUACAGUAUUGAGGAUUUGGGACUGUCCAUGUCUGAGGAGGGUAGGAUCUGAUGCACAUAUAGGAUCUGGGUCGGUCAGUGUCUAAGGAGGUAGGAUCUGGCACAAGUAUAAGGAUCUGGAUCUGUCAAUGCCUGAGGAGGUGGGAUCUGGUGCAGGUAUAAGGAUCUGGGUCGGUCAAUAUCUGAGGAGGUGUGAUCUGGCCCUGAUAUGAAGAUCUGUGUCUUCCAGUGUCCUAGGAGGUAGGAUCUGGCCCCUGUAUGAGGAUCUGGGUCUGUCAAUAUCUGAAGAGGUAGGAAUCCGGUACAGGUAUGGGAUCUGCAUCUGUCAAUGUCUGAGGAGUUAGGAAUCGUACAAGUAUGAGGAUCUGGGUCUUUCCAUAUCUGAGGAGGCAGGAUCUGGAUGUCUCCAUGUCUGAGGAAGUAGAAUCUGGGUCUGUCCAUGUCUGAGGAGGUAGGAUCUGGCAUGAAUAUGAUGAUCUGGGUCUGGCAAUGUCUGAAGAGGUAGGAAUCCGGUACAGGUAUGAGGAUCUGCAUCUGUCAAUGUCUGGAGGUAGGACCUGGCCCUGGUAUGAGGAUCUGGGUCUGUCACUGUCUGAGGAGGUUGGAAUCAUACAAGUAUGAGGAUCUGGGUCUCUCCAUGCCUGAGGAGGUAGGGUCUGGGUCUGUCCAUGUCUGAGGAAGUAGGAUCUGGCAUGAGUGUGAGGACCUGGGUCUGGCUGUGUCUGCGGAGUUAGGAUCUGGCGCAGGUAUAAGGAUCUGGGUCUUUCAGUGUCUGACAAGGUAGGUUCUGGCCUUGGUAUGAGGAUCUGGGUCUAUCAAUGUCGGAGGAGUAGGAGUCAUAGAAGUAUGAGGAUCUGGGUCUGUCCAUGUCUGAGGAGGUAGGAUUAAGGUCUCUCCAUGUCUGAGGAGGUAGGAUCUGGGUCUGUCUGUGUCUGAGGAGGUAGGAUCUUGCAUGAAUAUGAGGACCUGGGUCUGUCCAUGUCUGCAGAGGUAGGAUCUGGCGCAGGUAUAAGGAUCUGGAUCUUUCCAUGUCUGAGGAAGUAGGAUCUGGUACAGGUAUGAGGAUCUGGGUCUGUCAAUAUGUGAGGAGGGAGGAUCUAGCCCUGGUAUGAGGAUCUAGGUCUGUCCAUGUAUGAGAAGGUAGGAUCUAGCCCUGGUAUGAGGCUUAUGAGGAUUUAGCUGUCAGUAUCUGAGGAGUUAGGAUCUGAGUGCUGGUACAGGUAUGAGGAUCUGGGUCUGUCAGUGUCUGAGGAGGUAGGAUCUGGCCCCUGUAUGAGGCUCUGGGUUGCCCAUGUCUGAGGUAGGUAGGCCCAGGUAGGAUCUGGCCCUGAUAGGAGGAUUAUGAGGAUCUGGAUCUGUCAGUAUCUGAGGAGGUAGGAUCUGGGUGCCGGUAUAAGGAUCUGGAUUUGUCAGUAUCUGAGGAGGUAGGAUCUGGCCCUGGUAUGAGGAUCUGAGUCUGUCAGUGUCUGAGGAGGUAGGAUCUGGUGCUGGUAUGAGGAUCUGAGUCUGUCAGUGUCUGAGGAGGUAGGAUCUGGUACAGGUGUGAGGAUCUGGGUCUCUCUAUGUCUGAGCAGGUAGGAUCUGGUACAAGUUUGAGGAUAUGGGUCUGUCCAUGUCUGAGGAGGUAGGAUCUGGCCCUGGUUUGAGGAUCUGAGUCUUUCAAUAUCAGAGGAGGUAGGAAUCUAGUACAGGUAUGAGGAUCUGGGUCUCUCCAUGUCUGAAGAGGUAGGAAUCUGUUACAGGCAUGAAGAUCUGGGUCUGUCAAUGUGUGAAGAUACAAGAUCUGGCCCUGGUAUGAGGAUCUGUGUCUCUCCAUAUCUGAGGAGGUAGGAUCUGGAUCUGCCUGUGUCUGAGGAGGUAGGAUCUGGCAUGAGUAUGAGGAUCUGAGUCUGUCCAUGUCUGCAGAGGUAGGAUCUGGUGCAGGUAUGAGGAUCUGGGUCUCUCCAUGUCUGAGGAAGUAGGAUCAGGUACAGGUAUGAGGAUCUGGGUCUGUCAGUAUCUGAGGAGGUAGGAUCCGGGUGCAGGUAUAAGGAUCUGGAUCUAUCAGUGUCUUAGGAGGUAAGAUGUGGCCCUGAUAUGAGGAUCUGAGUCUGUCCAUGUCUGAGGAGGUAGGAUCUGGUAGAGGUGUGAAGAUCUGAGUCUCUCCAUGUCUCAGGAAGUAGGAUCUGGUACAGGUGUGAGGAUCUGGGUGUGUUUAUGUCUGAGGAGGUAGGAUUUGGUGCAUGUAUUAGGAUCUGGGUCUGUCCAUGUCUGAGGAGGUAGGGUCUGGCACAGAUAUAAGGAUCUAGGUCUUUUAAUGUCUGAGAAGGUAGGAUCUGUCCCUCGUUUGAGGAUCUGGGUCUCUCAAUAUCUGAGGAGGUAGGAAUCUGGUACAGGUAUGAUGAUCUGGGUCUCUCAAGUCUGAGGAGGUAGGACCUUGCCCUGGUAUACAGAUGUGAGUCUCUUCAUUUCUGAGGAGGUAGGAAUCCGUUACAGGCAUGAGGAUCUGGGUCUGUCAAUGUCUGAGGAGGUAGGACCUGGCCCUGGUAUGCAGAACUGGGUCUCUUCAUGUCUGCAGAGGUAGGAUCUGGGUCUGUCCAUGUCUGCGGAGGUAGGAUCUGGCAUAACUGUAUCUGGCACAGAUAUAAGGAUCUGGGUCUUUCAGUAUCUGACAAGGUAGGAUCUGGCCUUGGUAUGAGGAUCUGAGUCUGUCAAUAUCUGAGGAGGUACGAAUCUAGUACAGGUAUGAGGAUCUGGGUCCGAGGGCAUAGGAUACACUGGUACAAGUGUGAGGGUCUGGGUCUGUCUAUGUCUCAGGAGGUAGGAAUCUGGUACAGGUUGGAGGAUCUGGUUCUCUCAGUGUCUGAGGAGGUAGGAUCUGGCCCUGGUAUGAGGCUUAUGAGGAUUUGGGUCUGUCAGUAUCUCAGGAGGUAGGAUCUGGCUGCGGGUACAGGUAUGAGGAUCUGGGUCUGUCAGGGUCUGAGGAAGUAGGAUGAGGCUCUGGGUUGUCCAUGUCUGGGAAGGUAGGAUCUGGCCCUGAUAGGAGGAUUAUGAGGAUCUGGACUGUCAGUAUCUGAGGAGGCAGGAUCUGGGUGCGGGUAUAAGGAUCUGGAUCUGUCAGUAUCUGAGGAGGUAGGAUCUGGCCUUGGUUUGAGGAUCUGGGUCUUUCAAUAUCUGAGGAGGUAGGAAUCUGAUACAAGUAUGAAGAUCUGGGUCUCUCCAUGUCUGGAGGUAGGAUCUGGUACAAGUGUGAGGAUCUGGUUCUGUUUGUAUCUGAGGAGGUAGGAUCUGGUACAGGUAUGAGGAUCUGGGUCUGUCAGUGCGGAGCAGGUAGGAUCUGGUAUAAGUGUGAGGAUCUGGGUCUGUCCAUGUCUGAGGAGUUAGUAUCUGGAGUAGGCAUAAGGAUCUGGGUCUUUUAAUGUCUGAGAAGGUAGGAUCUGGCCCUGGUAUGAGGAUCUGAGUCUUUCAAUAUCUGAAGAGCUAGGAAUCUAGUACAGGUAUGAGGAUCUGGGUCUCUCCAUGUCUGAGGAGGGCGGAAUCUGUUACAGGCCUGAGGAUCUGGGUCUGUCAAUGUGUGAAGAGGUACGACCGGGCCUGGUAUGAUGAUCUGUGUCUCCUCAUGUCUGAGGAGGUAGGAUCUGGAUCUGCCUGUGUCUGAGGAGGUAGGAUCUGGCAUGAGUAAUGAGGAUCUGGGUCUGUCCAUGUCUGCGGAGGUGGGAUCUGGAGCAGGUAUAUAAGGAUCUGGGUCUUUAAUGUCUGAGAAGGUAGGAUCUGGCCCUGGUAUGAGGAUCUGGGUCUGUCAAUAUCUGAGGAGGUAGGAAUUUGGCCCUCAUAUGAGGACAUGGGUCUCUCCAUUUCUGAGGGGGUUGAAUCUGGUACAGGUAUGAGGAUCUGCGUCUGUCAGUGUCUGAGGAGGUAGGAUCUGGUCCUGGUAUAGGUAUCUGGGUCUGUCCUUGUCUGAGAAGGUAGGAUCCGACCCAUUAGGAUUAUGAGGAUCUGGGUCUGUCAGUAUCUGAGGAGGUAGGAUCUGGGUGCAGGUAUAAGGAUCUGGUACUGUCAGUAUCUGAGAGGUAGGAUCUGGGUGCAGGUAUAAGGAUCUGGAUCUGUCAGUGUCUGAGGAGGUAGGAUCUGGCCCAGGUAUGAGGAUCUGAGUCUGUCCACGUCUGAGGAGGUAGGAUCUGGUACUGGUGUGAAGAUCUGGGCCUCUCCAUGUCUCAGGAAGUAGGAUCUGGUACAGGUAUUGGGAUCUGGGUCUGUCUAAGUCUGAGGAGUUAGGAAUCUGGUACAGAUAUAAGGAUCUGGGUGUGUUCGUGUCUGAGGAGGUAGGAUUUGGUGCAUGUAUUAGGAUCUGGGUCUGUCCAUGUCUGAGGAGGUCGGAUCUGGCACGGAUAUCAGGAUCUAGUUCUUUUAAUGUCUGAGAAGGUAGGAUCUGGCCCUUGUUUGAGGAUCUGGGUCUUUCAAUAUCUGAGGAGGUAGGAAUCUGGUACAGGUAUGAGGAUCUGGGUCUGUCAAUGUCUGAGGAGGUAGGACCUGGCUGUGGUAUACGGAUCUGGGUCUCUUCAUGUCUGAGGAGGUAGGAAACUGUUACAGGCAUGAGGAUCUGGGUCUCUCAGUGUCUGAGGAGGUAGGACCUGGCCCUAGUAUGCGGAUCUGGGUCUCUUCAUGUUUGAAAAGGUAGGAUCUGGGUCUGUCUAUGUCUGUGGAAGUAGGAUCUGGUGCAGAUAUAAGGAUCUGGGUCUUUCAAUGUCUCAGAAGGUAGGAUCUGGCCUUGGUAUGAGGAUCUGGGUCUGUCAGUAUCUGAGUAGGUACAAAUCUAGUACAGGUAUGAGGAUCUGGGUCUCUCCAUCUCUGAGGAAGUAGGAUCUGGUACAGGUAUGCGGAUCUGGGUCUGUCUGUGUUUGAGGAGGUAGGAUCUGGUACAGGUGUGAAGAUCUGGGUCUGUCUGUAUCUGAGGAGGCAGGAUCUGGCCCUGGUAUGAGGAUCUGGGUCUGUCCAUGUCUGAGAAGGUAGGAUCUGGCCCUGGUAUGAGGCUUAUGAGGAUUUGGGGCUGUCAGUAUCUGAGGAGGCAGGAUCUGGGUGCGGAUACAGGUAUGAGGAUCUGGGUCUGUCAUUGUCUAAGGAGGUAGGAUCUGGCCCAGUAUGAGGAUCAGGGUCUGUCCAUGUCUGAGAAGGUAGGAUCUGACUGUGAUAUGAGGAUUACGAACAUCUGGGUCUCUCAGUAUCUGAUGAGGUAGUAUCUGGGUGCCAGUACAAGGAUCUGGCAGUCAGUAUCUGAGGAGGUAGGAUCUGGCCCUGGUAUGAGGAUCUGAGUCUGUAAAUGUCUGAGGAGGUGCGAUCUGGUACAGGUGUGAGGAUCUGCGUCUGUUCAUGUCUGAGGAGGUAGGAUUUGGUACACAUAUUAGGUUCUUGGUCUGCCCAUGUCUGAGGAGGUAGGACCUGGCCCUGGUAUGAGGGUCUGGGUCUCUUCAUGUCUGUGGAUGUAGGAUCUGGCAUGCGUAUGAGGGUCUGGCUCUGUCCGUGUCUGGGGAAGUAGGAUUUGGCGCAGAUAUAAGCAUCUGGGUCUUUUAAUGUCUACCAAGGUAGGCUCUGGCCUUGGUAUGAGGAUCUGGGUCUGUCAAUAUCUGAGGAGGUAUGAAUCUAGUACAGGUAUGAGGAUCUGGGUCUCUCCAUGUCUGAAAAGGUUGGCUGUGGUACAGGUAUGAGGAUCUGGGUCUGUCAGUGUCUGAGGAGGUAGGAUUUGGCCCUGUUAUGAGGAUCUGGGUCUAUCCAUGUCUGAAAUGGUAGGAUCUGGCCCAUUAGGAUUUUGAGGAUCUGGGUCUGUCAGUAUCUGAAGAGGUAGUAUCUGGGUGUGGGUAUAAGGAUCUGUAUCUGUCAGUAUCUGAGGAGGUAGGAUCUGGCUGUGGUAUGAGGAUCUGAGUCUGUCAAUUUCUGAGGAGGUAGGAUCUGGUACAGGUAUGAUGAUCUGGGUCUGUCUAUGUCUGAGGAGGUAGUAUCUGGCACAGAUAUAAGGAUCUGGGUCUGUUCAUGUCUCAGGAGGUAGGACGGCGCAAAUUAUAGGGAUCUGGGUCUAUCAGUGUCUGAGAAUGUAGGAUCUGGCUCUAGUAUGAGGAUCUGGGUCUUUCAAUAUCUGAAGAGGUAGGAAUUUGGUACAGGUAUGAAGAUCUGGGUCUCUUCAUGACUGAGGAGGUAGGAGUCUGUUACAGGCAUGAGGUUCUGGGUCUGUCAGUGUGUGAGGAGGUAAGAUCUCUCCCUGGUAUGACGAUCUGGGCCUGUCAGUGUUUGAGGAGGUAGGAAUCUGGUACACGUAUGAGGAUUUGCAUCUGUCAAUGUCUGAGGAGAUAGGACCUGGCCCUGAUAUGAGGAUCUCGGUCUCUCCAUGUCUGAAGAGGUAGGAUCUGGGUGUGCCCGUGUCUGAGGAGGUAGGAUCUGGCAGGAGUAUGAGGAUCUGGGUCUGUCCAUGUCUGCAGUGGUAGGAUCCGGAGCAGGUAUAAGGAUCUGGAUCUUUCAAUGUCUGAGAAGGUAGGAUCUGGCCCUGGUAUGAGGAUCUGGGUCUUUCGGUAUCUGAGGAGGUAGGAAUCUGGUGCUAGUAUGAGGAUCUGGGUCUCUCCAUGUCUGAGGAGGUUGGAUCUGGUACAGGUAUGAGGAUCUGGGUCUGUCAGUGUUUGAGGAGGUAGGAUCUGGCCUUGGUAUGAGGAUCUGGGUCUGUUCAUGUCUGAGAAGGUAGGAUCUGGCCCAUUAAGAUUAUGGGGAUCUGGGUCUGUCAGUAUCUGAGGAGGUAGGAUCUGGCUCUGGUAUGAUGAUCUGAGUCUGUCAGCGUCUUAGGAGGUAGGCUCUGGUACAGGUGUUAGGAUCUGGGUCUCUCCAUGUAUGAGUAAGUAGGAACUGGUAGAGGUGUGAGGAUCUGGGUCUGUCCAUGUCUGAGGAGGUAGGAUCUGGUUCAGAUAUAAGGAUCUAGGUCUUUCAAUGUCUGAGAAGAUAGAAUCUGGCCCUGGUUUGAGGAUCUGGGUCUUUCAAUAUCUGAGGAGGUACAAAUCUAGUACAGGUAUGUGGAUCUGAGUCUCUUCAUGUUUGAAGAGGUAGGAAUCUGUUACAGGCAUGAGGAUCUGGGUCUGUCAAUGUCUGAAGAGGUAAGACCUGGCCCUGGUAUGCGGAUCUGCAUCUCUCCAUGUCUGAGGAGGUAGGGUCUGGGUCUGUCCAUGUCUGCGGAGGUAGGAUCUGGCAGGAGUAUGAGGAUUUGGCUCUGUUCAUGUCUGCAGAGGUAGGAUCUGGCGCACAUAUAAGGAUCUGGGUCUUUCAGUGUUUGAGAAGGUAGGAUCUGGCCUUGGUAUGAGGAUCUGGGUCUGUCAGUAUCUGAGGAGGUAUGAAUCUAGUACAUGUGUGAGGAUCUGGGUCUGUCUAUGUCUGAGGAGGUAGGAAUCUGGUACAGGUAUGAGGAUCUGGGUCUGUCAGUGUCUGAGCAGGUAAGAUCUGGCCCUGGUGUGAGGCUUAUG